Molecule: ribosomal RNA, 301 nt
Filed under: uncultured bacterium
Lineage: Bacteria
Description: partial 16S ribosomal RNA
Rfam family: Bacterial small subunit ribosomal RNA
Source: RNAcentral
CAGCCGCCGCGGUAAAACGGAGGGGGCUAGCGUUGUUCGGAAUUACUGGGCGUAAAGCGCACGUAGGCGGCUUGGUAAGUUAGAGGUGAAAGCCUGGAGCUCAACUCCAGAAUUGCCUUUAAGACUGCCGAGCUAGCAGGUGAGAGAGGUAAGUGGAAUUCCGAGUGUAGAGGUGAAAUUCGUAGAUAUUCGGAAGAACACCAGCGGCGAAGGCGGCUUACUGGCUCAUUCUAGACGCUGAGGUGCGAAAGCGUGGGGAGCAAACAGGAUUAGAUACACCCGUAGUCCCUGUCUCUUAUAC